UACGUAGGGCGCGAGCGUUGUCCGGAAUUAUUGGGCGUAAAGAGCUCGUAGGCGGCCUGUCGCGUCGGUUGUGAAAGCCCGGGGCUCAACCCCGGGUCUGCAGUCGAUACGGGCAGGCUAGAGUUCGGUAGGGGAGAUCGGAAUUCCUGGUGUAGCGGUGAAAUGCGCAGAUAUCAGGAGGAACACCGGUGGCGAAGGCGGAUCUCUGGGCCGACACUGACGCUGAGGAGCGAAAGCGUGGGGAGCGAACAGG
This 253-nucleotide ribosomal RNA is filed under the name uncultured bacterium. RNAcentral describes it as "partial 16S ribosomal RNA". It matches the Rfam family "Bacterial small subunit ribosomal RNA", at positions 524 to 776 of the family's 1533-position model. The record is from RNAcentral.